This 484-nucleotide ribosomal RNA is filed under the name uncultured bacterium. RNAcentral describes it as "partial 16S ribosomal RNA". It matches the Rfam family "Bacterial small subunit ribosomal RNA", at positions 28 to 507 of the family's 1533-position model. The record is from RNAcentral.
AUUGAACGCUGGCGGCAUGCUUUACACAUGCAAGUCGAACGGCAGCGCGGGCUUCGGCCUGGCGGCGAGUGGCGAACGGGUGAGUAAUGCAUCGGAACGUGCCCAGCAGUGGGGGAUAGCCCGGCGAAAGCCGGAUUAAUACCGCAUACGACCUGAGGGUGAAAGCGGGGGACCGAAAGGCCUCGCGCUAUUGGAGCGGCCGAUGUCGGAUUGGCUAGCUGGUGGGGUAAAGGCUUACCAAGGCGACGAUCCGUAGCUGGUCUGAGAGGACGACCAGCCACACGGGAGCGGGGACACGGCCCAGGCUCCUACGGGAGGGAGCAGUGGGGAAUUUUGGGCAAUGGGGGCAAACCUGAUCCAGCCAUGCCGCGUGCGGGAAGAAGGCCUUCGGGUUGUGAACCGCUUUUGUUCGGGGAGAAAUCCUCUGGGCUAAUACCCCGGGGGGAUGACGGUACCGGAAGAAUAAGCACCGGCUAACUACGUG